ACAGAUUUGUCAACGCCGUCCGUCAGCCAAGAGAUUGCGACCGAAGUGCCCAACGCUGACCCGACCUUGUUCCCUAGUGGAGACGGACGUGAUCCAAGCCAAGCUUCCGUACACCCCAAGCCGGCUCUCGAGGAGUCGCCCGCCAUGCGCACCCAUAUGCCCAACAUGUUUGAUUUCGAGGUGAGACCCCCUGACGCUGACUGCUGUGACAGCGAACCUAUGGAAGGCCUACAGUGUGACAUCUGCGGCAAAGGAGAGCCGCCCCCAAACAACCUGCUUAUCUGCGACAGACCUGCUAAACGCCCUGCCCAUGGCUGUGACCCGUACUGCCUGUGGCCGCGGGUACUUAACGUACCAUAUGGCUCUUGGUAUUGUCCCCAACACCUGAUGGAAACGGCCAACCUCUCUGGAGGGCGUGGUGCGGACAAGGGCCCGGUACCGGCCUUACCCGGUCGUGCGUCGAGCAUAGGCCCGGUACGGGCCGCCGCCACGGCGGAAGCUGUUGCGGCCGCUGCGGCUGCCGCUGCAACUCCGCAAAACAACGGCGCUGUCAUCCCGACCGCCACCACCGUCACCAAGACUCAAGGGCGCCUGCGCGCCACCGCACAUGGAAUGGAGAAGCCCAAGGAUAAACAGUUACGCGAUCUGCCCCCCGCUACCAAAAUGUCCGUCCAACGGCCCCUACGUGUACAGAAGCUGGCAACUGCCACUGUACCUCCUAUCGUCCUGCAUCGACCCAAAACGGACCGCAACCGAAGGCCCUCCCACCAGUUUCCCCUACCAAGGUAUCUUAUUUUACUGCUGGCGCACGAGCCCAAUCAAAUGGAGGGGCCUGCGUCUCCUACAGCCGCUAGGCAACGGUGGUCAACAAUCGCCUGCUGCACGGCUCAAGAUCAUUUCAACGCGGUUUAUGUAGUGCAAGCCGACCUGCCGCCGCAAGCAAGCAGAAAUGCCUGGGUCAGCACGCUACUGGGUCAUGCAAGGGACGCAUGACUGAAGGCCCGGUAGCGACAGCUGUGGCGACAACAGAUGUACUUCGUAAAUCCGCGGCUGACCCAUCUUUGCUACUGCAGAGGAAAGAGUAGAAAGUGCCGCACUGCAACAGGUUCCUGCUUUCCCCAAUCCCUGCCAGUGCGUGCGUGUGUGUGUGUCCCAUGCCCCUCGGGUAGCCCAGGUUCGCCAACACCGCCCCUUCCACCAAGGGCCCACGGUCCAGCAAGGAUCCCGUCUUGAACAUGGCGAGCCCAAGCCACUACGUAUAGCUUCCAGCGGCGCCGAGACGUGAGUCGCGGCGCUGCUCGUCCAAGUUCCACCGACCAAGACCAAUCAAGAUCCAAGGCCAUUGUGGAUCAGCAAAAAUAUGAUAAAUAGUUGAGCGAGAUGAUGAGCAUAGCAGCGGCAUUAGGCCGCGUCGAGUUGGUUGAUCUAGUAGUUCGCGAUCGAAGUUUCCGGACUUGCUCGAUGUUUCUAGUGGCGCCCCGGGCUAGCCUAGAAUGUUCGAAGAAGUUGUUUAGCACACCCACCAUCGAGCGACGUUUUGGGUAGUUGACGAGGUCGGUUGAAGGUGUGGCACGCCCGCCACCGGAAGUAGUUACCUAGCGAUAUAUAGGGGCCUGACGCACAUUCCAGGUCGACUCCCACAGCUGCACAGCACCUAGCGUUGCCUGAGGAAGCCUAAGACUACGACCAAGCAGCCAGAGACGCUAGCGGUAGCCGCCCCGCUCACAACUAGGUCGCACCAAGCCUGUGCUUAGCUGGCUCCUUGCCUGAACAUUCGUGGCCAACUCUGACUCCACAGCCUGGUUGCAUCAAGGCACCAGGGCUCGUUUGGCGUGUGCUGUGUCUUGCGGUCACAACCCGUGGCUGACGGCAGCAUACUUGUAACGGUUGAGUGCAAAUUCCCCUUCGCGGGCUGCCCCUUCCCCUUCCCCUGCGACCGACGCGUGCGGACCGGACUGGACCUAAGCCCUUCGCCAUAGUGCGCGGCCUCUAGUGUGUCAGGCUUCCCCCGUCACCCCGGCGCCUACAGUCUCCC
RNAcentral lists this long non-coding RNA (2035 nucleotides) under Chlamydomonas reinhardtii. RNAcentral describes it as "long non-coding RNA (CREI_LNC000198)". Lineage: Eukaryota; Viridiplantae; Chlorophyta; Chlorophyceae; Chlamydomonadales; Chlamydomonadaceae. The record is from RNAcentral.